Long non-coding RNA from Clupea harengus (Atlantic herring), 3993 nucleotides. The record is from Ensembl. NCBI's taxonomy places the organism in Eukaryota, Metazoa, Chordata, Actinopteri, Clupeiformes, Clupeidae.
AGACCUUUAUAAUCAAUUAGGCCUCAUCCCUUCCCCCCUAUUUUCUUUUCUCUCUUUCUUUUUUUUUUUUUUUUUUUUUUUUUUAAAUUGUUUUCUGAACCUUGUCUGCUUUUAUCACUCCUCGCCAAUCCGGUGCCUUAUUAAUACAGUUUCCUGUACGGCCAAGGGGUUCAUGAGCCCACCGAAGGGAAUUGCAGUUACACAAACAAGGUUUUACUAAACACACUGAGUUCGUCUGAAUGAUCCACUAAUCCGGCUUAUUUUUGUUGGAUUCUUGCAUCCACCGAAAGCUUACCCAUUCAGACGUAACAAAGGUGUGUUAUAUCAGUGUUAAAUCAGUGCUAUAUCACUGAUUUAAUCUAUCAUCUGAGUACUUCUGAUCUUAAUUUGACACUUUUGCUGAACACAACAGUUGUGGGUAUUACUUCUAUUAUUUAUUUGCAAGUCACUUAUCUUUUGAAAGACUAUCUCUUACAAAUAUUCACUUCUGUCCUAUAGUUCUGUAUAAAGACAGGAGUCGGGUGUCUGAAAAUUCAAACUUCCUCCUGAUUCAUACACAGAACUGUGCGUGGCGCAGUGCCAGCUGUGUGUCUCUCUGCACUCAAUUCUACCCUCCUUUAUCCUAUUUACACGCCUUUGCCCUAUUUACAUUUGAAAAAUUUGCGCUACUCGCUUUACACGCGCUAACCGUGCUUGGUCGCGUUACACGCUUAUCCUUUACCUCUAACCCAGAGGGUGAGCACAUCUGGGAUGUAGGCUAAAUUGUAGGUCAAGAGUAGGCUAACGAGCUCAGACACUACUUCGAUUAUCUACUUCAGUUGCUACGCGGAAGGGUCAACCAUGCUCACCCCCCGUUUAGGAACUCUGGUCUGUUACGCAGUCCGUACUAAUCUCUCACUCUUCCCUCUAAACCUAAUGUUUAGGUAGUCAGGUCUAUUAUGCAGACCUACUAAUCUCCCUCCUCCCUCUAAACCUAAUGUUUAGGUAGUCAGGCCUUUUACAGUACCUACUAAUGCUUUUUCUUAUUUAAAACUGACAAUUCACAAAGGCUUUGUGGAUUUGUAUCACUAUCCACCAUCCACUCGCACUUGCUGCUUCCUUCAAGAUCCAAGUUGACAGACAAAAACUAACUAAUCAAUAUUCUAAUCUAUGGACAAUUCAAUGAAAUAGGUUUGUCCUCACCUUAUUUUUCUCGCAGGCCUGCUUUUUGUCUGCCGCCAAAGAUCUUGAAGCCCCACUCUGAGCCUCGGGCUCCAGGUGAGGGUUUGGCUGGUCCACCUCUCCUCAGCUCAGCGUCGGGUCACUAAUUGUUAGAGAUAAAAUACACUGCGUGUUGUUUCGGAGAGGAACCACCAUACGAAGCAAUUUGUUGUAACAAGGUUGAGUUUUACUGGUAGGUAACGACACAAUACAACUUGCCCAACAGACAGUCAAGUACAGUCAAGCAAGCCGGAGAAUGUGAAUUCUAGAGUCUAAACAGAGGAUGCUCCCACUUUUAAGGCCUAAUUCUGUGAUGUCACUUCUGGCCCCCUGCACCUCCCACAUACACUGUCUUCCACUCGGCACUUUGUUAUAACACAUGAUUAACUUCUGCUUUUAAUCUGCUGACAUGUAUGUCUGGACAUUUUUGUCUGUGCCCCAGCCUUGACCACCUAAGAUUUAUAUGCUUCUCUCCUCUUCCGGGCCUUUGUUUUAACUUGCUUUCUCCUGUCUGACUCUUUACAUUUCCCCUGCAGAUGUUACUUGCUGUUUUUCUGACUUGUUGGCAGACUGCCCUUUUCUUGUGAUUAUACUUCAUUGAUACAUUUGGUUAAAUGUGAUAUGAUUAGAUAAAUUUGAUAAUUCAAAUUUAUCUUACACCAUCAUGAUGAAAUUAUGUAGUUAAUUAGGGGUACCAUCAUGAUGAAAUUAUGUAGUUAAUCAGGGGUACCAUCAUGAUGAAAUUAUGAUGUAACCAAACCACACAGUACAGGAGUUCAUGAGAAUUGAGAUGCCCUGCUGGUGUGAUCCUGCCUCCUGCCUGUAGUUCACUAAGCUGGGAACAACAGAGUGGAGAUACAGAGACAAUCCUUAUUUCCCCCAUAUGUGCUCCUGAGUUCUGGCAGCAGAUACACACUCAGGUUACACAGAGCGGAAGUGGUAGUGAACGCACCAUUCCUACUCUACUGAAAUGAGCAGCAGAGACACACUCAGGUUCCACAGAGCUGUGUGGUAGUGAACGCACCACUGCUACUCUGCUGAACAGUAGUGCUGGUGGCCACGCCUCCUCAUUUGGACUAGACCUCUAACGGCUGUGUGGUGUAACACCCUCAGGGUUACGUGUCUGCUGAAGAGUAGUGCUGUGUGGUGUAACACCCUCAGGAUUGCGUGUCUGCUGAAGGGUAUUGCUGUGUGGUGUAACACCCUCAGGGUUACGUGUCUGCUGAAGAGUAGUGCUGUGUGGUGUAAACACCCUGAGUGUUACGUGUCUGCUAAUGAGUAAAGAUCUGGGAGUUUGAGGACUGAAGGCACGGACACAACCAGGCUUUGUUGCUUUGGGAACUUUUUUAUUUCUUUAUUUGCAUUAUAUAUUUAGACUGAUAUCAUUCAGAGAUGACUCAAUGCUAAAAUGUCAUUUAUAAAUGGAUUGCUAUUUUGUUCGUUAUAUACAUAUUGGUAUAUUGUCUGAUUGGUAUAUUGGUACUUCAUUGAUUAUUGAUUGAGGUUUCUAAUGUUUAAUGUGCAAUAAUACAUUUGUAUUGUAUACUGUAUUUUCCUGAGUUACUGCAGCUUUCAAACAGGACUUUGUUGUUUGUAUUUGUUAUUGUCUGUAUUUGUUGUUUAUGUAUUUAAAUAGUUGUUUCUGGUCUCUCUCUGCCAGCACACACACACACACACACACACACACACACACACACACACAUCUUUCUCUAACCAUGUAUAGUGUUGGUCCUGGGUGUUGUGUUGCUCUAGGCAAACACACAUUGCGUACAUGAGAAAGAGCACCUUCAUCUUUUCAUAGUUUAGUUUAAGUUCAAGGCCCUUGGCAGACACUUUUGUCCAAAGUGACUUACAUCAGGGCAAACUGGUACAUACAGGAAGGACAGAACAUGAUGUUAGCCAUAAGUAAGACAUUAAGAUGAUUCUGAUAGUGUGUGUGUGUUUGGAUGUGAUCUGUCAUGUGACUUGAGCUGGCUACAUUAAUUAUGUGACUACUUACCUGUCCAUACUAGUCAUGUGACUACUUGUUAACAUCUAAGAAACAGCCCAAAGGCAGCCAUUUUGACUUGCCCUUAUGAAGGUUCUUAUGACUGAAACACAUAAGCAUGUUUUUUUAUUGUUACUUUGACUAAACAGCCAAGAGAUAUUAAAGGCGUUCUGAACGUAUUACCCUCCUGAGUGCCUCAGAUUUGUUCACCAAUACUCAACUAGUAGGAUCCCCAAACUGAAGACACCAAUCCCCAACACCUUUGUACUCCCAAGCAGCACUCUAUGCACACAGAUUCUCGACUGACUGCCAAAACAUAUUUGGAAAAAAUUGAAUACAAGAGUGAUAUAUAAAGCAUUUUACAUAAAACAGUAGCAUGUGUAUGACAAUCACAUCAGAUUAUAGAAAGAAAAACAUAUUACAAUAACAACAUCAACAACAACAGCAGCAGCAACAACAACAACAACAGCAGCAACAACAACUGUUACACUUGUUGUGGUUCAGGUCAGAAUUGGCUGGCCUGACAUAAACGUUGAUAAUGCUUUAUGUACUGUAUCAUUUGCAGCUAGUUAACAAUGUUGUACCACUCGGUUUUAUUCAAAAUAAGGGAAAUUCACAAAAUAUUUCAACAUAAAUAGAACGCAUCCAAAUCCACAUCUAUUUUUUGUAUUUAACAAUUUAACAGCACACAUUUGCAAUAUACAUGAAAAAAAAAAUCAUCAUGAAAAUCAUUUUACAGCACAAUAACACUUGUUGUGUCUUCGGUCAAAAGUGACUAAAUGUCUCCAUACAUUUAACAUUGGGGC